RNAcentral lists this ribosomal RNA (505 nucleotides) under uncultured bacterium. RNAcentral's name for it is "partial 16S ribosomal RNA". It matches the Rfam family "Bacterial small subunit ribosomal RNA", at positions 28 to 507 of the family's 1533-position model. The record is from RNAcentral.
GACGAACGCUGGCGGCGUGCCUAAUACAUGCAAGUAGAACGCACAGUUUAUACCGUAGCUUGCUACACCAUAGACUGUGAGUUGCGAACGGGUGAGUAACGCGUAGGUAACCUGCCUGGUAGCGGGGGAUAACUAUUGGAAACGAUAGCUAAUACCGCAUAAUAUUAAUUAUUGCAUGAUAAUUAAUUGAAAGGUGCAAUUGCACCACUACCAGAUGGACCUGCGUUGUAUUAGCUAGUAGGUGAGGUAACGGCUCACCUAGGCGACGAUACAUAGCCGACCUGAGAGGGUGAUCGGCCACACUGGGACUGAGACACGGCCCAGACUCCUACGGGAGGAAGCAGUAGGGAAUCUUCGGCAAUGGACGAAAGUCUGACCGAGCAACGCCGCGUGAGUGAAGAAGGUUGUCGGAUCGUAAAGCUCUGUUGUAAGAGAAGAACGGGUGUGAGAGUGGAAAGUUCACACUGUGACGGUAGCUUACCAGAAAGGGACGGCUAACUACGUG